This 469-nucleotide ribosomal RNA is filed under the name uncultured bacterium. RNAcentral's name for it is "partial 16S ribosomal RNA". It matches the Rfam family "Bacterial small subunit ribosomal RNA", at positions 27 to 507 of the family's 1533-position model. The record is from RNAcentral.
GGACGAACGCUGGCGGCGUGCUUAACACAUGCAAGUCGAACGGAAAGGCCCUGCUUUUGUGGGGUGCUCGAGUGGCGAACGGGUGAGUAACACGUGAGUAACCUGCCCUUGACUUUGGGAUAACUUCAGGAAACUGGGGCUAAUACCGGAUAGGAGCUCCUGCUGCAUGGUGGGGGUUGGAAAGUUUCGGCGGUUGGGGAUGGACUCGCGGCUUAUCAGCUUGUUGGUGGGGUAGUGGCUUACCAAGGCUUUGACGGGUAGCCGGCCUGAGAGGGUGACCGGCCACAUUGGGACUGAGAUACGGCCCAGCCGCCUACGGGAGGCAGCAGUGGGGAAUAUUGCACUAUGGGCGGAAGCCUGAUGCAGCAACGCCGCGUGCGGGAUGACGGCCUUCGGGUUGUAAACCGCUUUCGCCUGUGACGAAGCGUGAGUGACGGUAGUGGGUAAAGAAGCACCGGCUAACUACGUG